UUAAACCCAAAGAAUUUGGCGGUACUCUUCAUUCCGUUCAGAGGAACCUACCCCGUAAUUGAUANUACACGAUUAACUUUACUUAAUUUAUUUGUUUGUAUAUCUCCGUUAUCAGAAAAUCUUUUUAGAGUUUAAAUUUUCAUGAUUUAUAACUAUAAAGUAUUUCAGGUCAAGGUGCAGUUUAUAAUUAAGAGGUGGUGGGUUACAAUAAAUUUUUAUUUAUUACGGCUAUUUUAAUGAAAUAUUANAAAUUAAGGUGGAUUUGAUAGUAAAUUAAUUUAUUUAAUUUAAUUGAUAUUGGCUCUAAGGUGUGUACACAUC
Molecule: ribosomal RNA, 321 nt
Filed under: Betiscoides meridionalis
Lineage: Eukaryota; Metazoa; Arthropoda; Insecta; Orthoptera; Lentulidae
Description: partial 12S ribosomal RNA
Source: RNAcentral